GAUGAAGAACGCAGCGAAAUGCGAUAAGUAAUGUGAAUUGCAGAAUUCAGUGAAUCAUCGAAUCUUUGAACGCACAUUGCGCCCGCCAGUAUUCUGGCGGGCAUGCCUGUUCGAGCGUCAUUACAACCCUCAGGCCCCCGGGCCUGGCGUUGGGGAUCGGCGGAGCCCCCCGUGGGCACACGCCGUCCCCCAAAUGCAGUGGCGGUCCCGCCGCAGCUUCCAUCGCGUAGUAGCUAACACCUCGCGACUGGAGAGCGGCGCGGCCACGCCGUAAAACACCCAACUCUUCUGAAGUUGACCUCGAAUCAGGAAGGAAUACCCGCUGAACUUAAGCAUAUCAAUAAGCGGAGGA
This 352-nucleotide unclassified non-coding RNA is filed under the name soil metagenome. RNAcentral describes it as "partial contains 5.8S ribosomal RNA, internal transcribed spacer 2, and large subunit ribosomal RNA". The stretch from base 1 to 120 matches the Rfam family "5.8S ribosomal RNA", at positions 35 to 154 of the family's 154-position model. The record is from RNAcentral.